CGGACAUAUGCGGGCGGUUUGCGGUUCCGCCUUGAAAAUGCCCUAAGAUCACUAAUCUCAAAGCAGCACACCCAUUUGGCUGUUCUAUUUUUAUUUUAUUUUUUUGUUACUCACAAACUUUGUCGUCGACGGCGCAGGUUCGCCAAUCGCCAUGACUCGGCCGCGGGGCUGCCGAUUGGCGCACCGACGGCGAGAUCAAUCGUGGGACCGCCCUGUGAGGGGCGCUGCGACGCAAAGUGGAACUGUGGAAGGUCGUUGAGUUACCGGCCACAAGGAAGCGGCGUCCGCGGCUUGCGGAGAGGCGGGUGGAGGUGUGAUCCAGAAGGCACUGGUGGCGUCGGUCAACGGGAGGAGCAGUGAGGAGGACGAGUAUUGAUGACACCGUGCCCACCGUGGCUGGGGGCUGGGGCAGAGAAGGAAGUGGCCGGCCCGGCCUGGAUAGGUCGACGACGGCGACUCGGCGGAGGGGGGCAGUUCCUGUCUGCUCGAGUUAACCCGCACUCUUUCUCUGCUCGAGUUAAGCCGGAUGGAUCGAAUUUCGUUGCAGUCUUCAUAUGCCACCGACACUUUCUUUUCACUGGCAGAGAGUGAUUUGGCGCUCUGAAGGCUCCUUCUGAUUGCUCCCUAGGGCUCAACAGUGGACUCUUCUCAGAUUCUUCCACAGCUUCAUCUUUGGCUUGCAUCAGAGUGAUGUUGGUCAUGGGGAUGUCCUUGACUACUUUGCUGUGCUGUUCACUAGAAUAACUUAAAGAGUUGAUGCUUUCUGUACUCAGAAGUAAUGGAGUCUCUUCACCCACAUCUGUCCCUAGAGUUGGUUUCUGAAGCAGACACUGUUCCUCACUAGAAUCAUCAGCAUUUGCAAUAACUUUCUUCUGUUCCGAUUCAACAGCAAAGCCUACAGUCCCUGUGACUUUCUCCUGAUUGGAUUCAGAAGUAAAACAUGUGGCUUUAUCAGAUGUGCCUUGUCUCUCCUUGUUGAAUAAAUUAGGGAAGAUCAAGUCUGUCGCUGAACUGCAUUCCACCGGCUUCAUGCAGGUGCUCAGAGUCUCACUGUUUUCAAACUUGACAACUUCAGGUUCUUCAAGCAGUAACGGUUGAGGCUGAUCACACUGUGAGCUGUUCAUGGUUUCUUGUGUAUCUAUAGCCUUUGCUUCACAUGUGGAGGUGGUGGCUCCUUCAUUACUAUCCGAACUAUCAGGUUUAAUAUCUUCCUUGACAAAAUCUUCUACUGGUUGAAGAGCAUGUGAUGUUGCAGUCAUUGGUGCAGCUAAUUCUUCUAUGAUGACUUCUUCAUGUACCUUUUCUUCAUUCAAAAUAGGAAGAGGGCCAGAUAAUGGUGGGCCUAAACCUGUAAAAUCUUCUCCGUGGACCUUGGCAAGACCAAGAGAGUCAUGGAUACCAUCAGAUUUCUUAUCCCCUUCAAAAUUAUCUUCUUCAUUCUUGUCUGCAACAUCUUUGUUGACAAUUCCCCCUUGCUCUUUCUCUGCUGUUUCAAUUACAUUGUGCUCCAUUGCUGCACUUACAGAAUCUGACAUCUGUUCUGCUAUACUCAGUUCAUGUUUCUGAAGUUCUUUGCUAUUUGUUGCACUGGGAUCUGCUAAAGCUGACUGAAAUUGGGAAACAGCUUCAACAAUGUCGAGAGCACCAUAUGCGCUACAUUUGGGAAAUUCUUCCUGCUGAUUUUCCAAUCCUUGGAUCUUCUCGUCUUCUUCUAGCACCUCAUCAUUUUCAAUCACAGUAUCUACUGUUAUGGUUUUGCAGGAAUUGUUGUUGCCCAUUUCACAGAUUUCUUGCUUCUCUUCUUUCUUGGAUGUUUCUUGGUUGGUGUCAUCUUCUGGUCGUACAUGUGAUGAAUUUUCUCUUUCUCUAGGCUCAUCUUCGAGGACAACCUCCUUAGUCUCAUCAUCAAGAUGAUCAGUGAUAAUUGAUUCAGUUGAUGAUGUAGUCGCUCCUUGUACCGAGGAUGGUGUCCAUAGAUCCUCUACUGCUGACACUCCAGUUUGUCUUUCUUCUAGGCUUUCAACUGUAUCUUCUCCAACUAGAUUAUCAUCCACCACUGCAGCUUCUUGACUGCAAUAUUCCUCCCCAUCUUGUGGCGCACUUUCAAUAAUUCCCUCUAACAAUGUGAGGGGAUUUGGUAUGGUACUUUCUUCACUUGUCUCUGUCAUUUCGUGUACAACUUGUUUGAAUUGCUCAUCAGAUAAUGAUGUAUCAUUGCCACUUGUCAUGUCUUCAGUAGUGGUGUCGACAGCGGCAACUUUUUCUGUACCAUCUGUGGUUGUUUCAGUUCCACUGCCCUCUUGUGAUUCAUCACCUGUGCCAGAUCACUUGCUUUUAUUAGGAGAGUAUAUAGUGCUGAAGGAAAGCAAUGCUUAGGUACCUAUGAUUUUAGUGGCCCAUCAUAUAUUCUGAAGUUCAAGUAUAGUUGUUCAUAGAAGCAUAACUUACCUUUUAUUAGGUGGGUAGCUAGGUAGCACUAGCAUCUAGCAAAUUUUCACUUUUGAAUCCCUCUCUUACUAUCUCAUACUGAAUUCACCAUUUAUUAUCGCAAACACGCAUUCUUCUCAUAUUAAACCAUUCUUAAAUGGCUUAUUAAAGCACAAAAAUAAAACAUAGUAAGAAACAGCAAAACAAGCUAGGUAUGAGCCAUAUCAGCCAGCUGAACUAACCUUGUUCUGUAGGUAGGUUACUAUUUCCAUCAUCAUCUUGUAUUGAUGUAUGAUCCUGAAGUGAGUCCCUGUUCUUCUCAUCUAAGUCUUCAUUUGCAGCAGAGAUUUUUGUUUGAUCUGAAGCUAUUUGAUCAUUUCCACCAUUAGAAAUGAUAGGGUCCUUUAACACCUCUGACAUACCAUCAGAUUUCUGAUCCCCUUCAAAAUUAUCUUCUUCAUUCUUGUCUGCAACAUCCCUUUCAAUAAUUCCCCCUUGCUCUUUCUCUGCUGUUUUAAUUACAUUGUGCUCCAUUGCUACACUUACAGAAUCUAACAUCUGUUCUGCUAUACUCAGUUCAUGUUUCUGAAAUUCUUUGCCACUUGCUGCACUGGGGUGUGCUAAAGUUGACUGAAACUGGGAAACGGCUUCAACAAUAUCGGGAGCACCAUAUUUAUUACAUUUGGGGAAUUCUUCCUCCUGAUUUUCCAAUCCUUGGAUCUUCUUGUCUUCUUCUAGCACUUCAGCGCUUUCAACCACAGUAUCUUCUGUUAUAGUUUUGCAGGCUCAUCUUCGACGACAACCUCCUUACUCUCGUCAGCAAGAUAACCACUGAUAAUUGAUUCAGUUGAUGAUGUAGUCUCUCCAACUAGAUUAUCACCCACCACUGUUGACACUCCGGUUUGUCCUUCUAGGUUUUCAACUGUAUCUCCUCCAACUAGAUUAUCACUCGCCCCUGCAACUUCUUGACUACAAGAUUCCUCCUCGUCUUCUGGCAGACCUUCAAUGCUUUCCUCUAACAACAUGGCGGGAUUUGCAGUGUUGUGGUGCCGACAUGGGCAACUGUUUCUGCAGAAUUUGUGGCUGUUUCAGUUCCACUGUCCUCCUGUGUUUCAUCACCUGUGCCAGAUUACUUGCUUUUAUUAGUCGAGCUUAUAGUGCUGAAGAUUUCAGGUCCUGAAGUCAUUGUUGAAGACAUGGGUUGAACCGGCUUACGAAGCACGGAAAGAAGAAUUUCUUUCCGUUUUGCUAUGCAUAACAUGCGCGCGCGAUUCCACGGAAACUUCCGACUUUAUUCUCAGGUGGAUAAAACCUCGACAUGUGGAGAGCAUGCGCGCGCGUGAUUCCACAGAAACUUCCGACUUUCUUCUUAGGGGGAUAAAACCUCGACAUGUGGAGAGCUGCCUGAUAACAAAAACGCAGUGAAACAAGAGCUGUAUCUAAUUACAUUAGUCAACCUUUCGGCGCAUCUUAAGUUCUUAACAUAUUCCAGUCCA
Long non-coding RNA from Triticum aestivum (bread wheat), 3923 nucleotides. RefSeq lists it as uncharacterized. The record is from RefSeq and is a predicted model, not a curated record. NCBI's taxonomy places the organism in Eukaryota, Viridiplantae, Streptophyta, Magnoliopsida, Poales, Poaceae. The transcript has 5 exons.